This 72-nucleotide transfer RNA is filed under the name Candidatus Bathyarchaeota archaeon. Its description in RNAcentral is "tRNA-Cys". It matches the Rfam family "tRNA". From Rfam's summary of the family: Transfer RNA (tRNA) molecules are approximately 80 nucleotides in length. Their secondary structure includes four short double-helical elements and three loops (D, anti-codon, and T loops). Lineage: Archaea; Thermoproteati; Candidatus Bathyarchaeota. The record is from RNAcentral. RNAcentral also lists the same sequence under 6 other names.
GCCGGGGUAGCCGAGCGGUUAGGCGGCGGGCUGCAGACCCGCUUUACAGGGGUUCGAAUCCCCUCCCCGGCU